Molecule: ribosomal RNA, 200 nt
Filed under: uncultured bacterium
Lineage: Bacteria
Description: partial 16S ribosomal RNA
Rfam family: Bacterial small subunit ribosomal RNA
Source: RNAcentral
AUUGAACGCUGGCGGCAUGCUUAACACAUGCGAGUCGAACGGCAGCACGUUCUAGUUUACUAGAAGGGUGGCGAGUGGCGAACGGGUGAGUAACGCGUAGGAAUAUACCUUAGAGAGGGGGAUAACAUGGGGAAACUCAUGCUAAUACCGCAUACGUUCUUAGGAAUAAAGCUGGGGACCUUCGGGCCUGGCGCUUUAAG